Aphis gossypii (cotton aphid) is the source of this 947-nucleotide long non-coding RNA. RefSeq lists it as uncharacterized. The transcript is spliced from 3 exons. The record is from RefSeq and is a predicted model, not a curated record. Lineage: Eukaryota; Metazoa; Arthropoda; Insecta; Hemiptera; Aphididae.
AGUAAUACCUAUAUGAUACGAAUGCCACUAGUUCCUAAAAAAUAAGUAAAACGCCGCAAUGAUUAUUAAUGACCUUCACGUUGAAAUUUGUAAUACUAUAUUAUCACGAUGACGAUGAUGAUAAUAUAGCAGAAUAGUAACUGUAUACCGGUUGGGGAUCAGUUGCUUAGUGCGACUUUAAAAUAUAUAGUAGGUACUAGGUAGGUAUCAACCAGUUUUUCAAGUUACCUAUAUACAAUCACAUGCUACAGAACACAAAAUUUACAUAUAUUAUACAAGUGAUAUAAAGUUAUAAUAUGUUUUGUCAUCAAAAUUAUUGCUUUUUGAAACAGACAUUUAUUUGCUUUUGAUUUUGUAUUUUUCUUUACUGUAAAUGGUAUUAUACUUCACUAUUUGAAUGAAGGUGUUCAAGUGUUAUGGUAUGGUUGUAAUAUUACAGAUAGAGGCAAGGCUGUGACUGGUGGGGUCCAGAGGGGUCCGGACUCCCCCCUUUUAAAAUUUUUAAAAAUUUAAUCAAAUGUCAUAUGAAAAGUUUUAUCGUUAUUUUAACUAGUUUUAUUAAAUACAAUCAUACACUCAAAAUAUAAAGUAACAAAGUGUGUCCAAUACAAUUAAGAUUUUCGUACAUCAUACAAGUGGGACAUGUACUCUAUAUUAUGUAUUUAUGCUAUGUAUUUUUGUACUUGUGAAUAGUGAAACCCAUUGGAAGAAUUUAACGAAGUAAUGACAUGACAUGUUUUAUUGAAUUAAAGUUGAGACGGUCACGCCAGAAUUUGAUAGAGAUGACAUUUCGAUUUUAAGUAGAUUUUCUUUGUAAUAAUAUUUUUAAUUCAUUUGUUAUUUAAUCCUUUCUAGUGUCAUUAUUAUUUACUUACAUCAGAUGUUCAAGUACACAUAGAAAAAUAAUCACAUAUAUCAACUGUAGUUUUACGUGAUAUAAAAGUGUG